This 222-nucleotide ribosomal RNA is filed under the name Neureclipsis sp. BOLD:ACG3346. RNAcentral's name for it is "partial 18S small subunit ribosomal RNA". It matches the Rfam family "Eukaryotic small subunit ribosomal RNA", at positions 1278 to 1441 of the family's 1831-position model. The record is from RNAcentral. Lineage: Eukaryota; Metazoa; Arthropoda; Insecta; Trichoptera; Polycentropodidae.
UUGGUGCAUGGCCGUUCUUAGUUGGUGGAGCGAUUUGUCAGGUUAAUUCCGGUAACGAACGUAACUCUAGCCUAUUAAAUAGACGUAUUACCGAUAUCACGAGGGUCCGCGGCCGCGCGGCGCGUCGCUCACGCGGCGCGUUCGCGCGCGCGCGCGGUCUUCAUCUAUCGGCGUACAAUGAAAAUCUUCUUAGAGGGACCGGUGGUAAUUAUAGCCACACGA